UCCGAGUUGUCCCCGGCAGUCCUUUUAGAGUCCCCGGCAUUACCCGCUGGCAACAUAGAACGAGGGUUGCGCUCGUUGCGGGACUUAACCCAACAUCUCACAACACGAGCUGACGACAACCAUGCACCACCUGUAAACCGACCGCAAGCGGGGCGCCUGUUUCCAGGUAUUACCGGUUCAUGUCAAGCCUUGGUAAGGUUCUUCGCGUUGCAUCGAAUUAAUCCGCAUGCUCCGCCGCUUGUGCGGGCCCCCGUCAAUUCCUUUGAGUUUUAAUCUUGCGACCGUACUCCCCAGGCGGGAUGCUUAAAGCGUUAGCUGCGCCACUGACGAGCAAGCUCGCCAACGGCUAGCAUCCAUCGUUUACGGCGUGGACUAC
RNAcentral lists this unclassified non-coding RNA (376 nucleotides) under uncultured bacterium. Its description in RNAcentral is "contains 16S-23S intergenic spacer region". The record is from RNAcentral.